Molecule: long non-coding RNA, 974 nt
Organism: Danio aesculapii
Lineage: Eukaryota; Metazoa; Chordata; Actinopteri; Cypriniformes; Danionidae
Exons: 4
Source: RefSeq, a predicted model, not a curated record
GUUGUAUUAGUAAAGCAUAUUGCAUUUCUAAGAGAUCACUUUAGACCAGGGAUCACCAACCCUGUUCUUGGAGAGCUACCAUCCUGCACAUUUCAGUAGCAACCUCAAACACACCUGUCUGUAAUUAUCAAGUGCUGUUUCAGGUCCUAGUUAAUAAGUUUCAGGUUUGAUCAGGGUUGGCGCUGAAUCCUGCUGGAAGGUAGAUCUCCAGGAAUAGGGUUGGUGACCCCUGGUUUAGACCACGUCAGUGUUAGGCCUUAGUUCAAUUAGGACAUUUAAGUAGCUUUUAUAAACGUGUCUUAGAAAAAUACAUUACUGGUGUGCAUCUUCAGAUGAAACAUCGAAACUGACAUAUUUUAAGAUCUGCUAUCAGUGAGAUGUGAAGUUGUGUUGUUGUUAAUUUUUGUUCUUAUUUUCCUAAGCAGAUUCUGUCAUUUCACGGUGAACUACUCCCCUUCGGGAUGCCAUUAAUCACAUCCUUGCAGGAAGAGACGAGAAUUCAAAGUCAGAACUCAAAUAUAUGAAUCCAGUUAAAGAUACAGAAUUGAGAGCAGUCAGUCAUCCAAUCCCUCACCAAACUGAGCAUGAGGUGCAUUGUGUCUGAGGUCAGUGUGGCACUUCAUCUGCCAAAGAGGAAUUUGGAGAAGUUGGUGUCCAGCACCAGGAAGUGUCACCCGCUGUUCUUCUUCACAGACGUUACCAGUGAGGCCGAAUCAAGAUCAGCGGUUCAGUCACCCAGAGCUGCAACUCUGCUUGUUAGGCGAGUUUGAAUUUACCUUUGCUUUGACAUGGACCAGUGGUUAGAGUGCUGUGAUGUUCCAUUAGAACACAUUUUCAGUGUUUUUAGUAGCUGUGGUGAAAAUGUCCUCUAUUCAGUAUGGAUGGUCUUUUCUAACCAUGGUGUCCCCCCAACACGUGUGUUUUCCUGUGUGUGCCACACACUGGACUUCAGUGGAAGAAUCAGGAUUUGAGCA